Molecule: ribosomal RNA, 335 nt
Filed under: Coxotermes boukokoensis
Lineage: Eukaryota; Metazoa; Arthropoda; Insecta; Blattodea; Termitidae
Description: 12S ribosomal RNA
Source: RNAcentral
UCCGCGUUGGACCUUACUUGGAUUGCUUUGUGGUUUGUAUACCGCCGUUUAUUGAUUAUCUUUUUAGAGUUGGGUAAAUUUUCUGGUUUCUUUAUUUUGGUUUAUUUCAGGUCAAGGUGCAGCUUGUUUCUAAGUGGAUGAUGGAUUACAUUUUUAUUUGUUUUUGGAUUGUCGAUUUAAAUAUUGAUAUGAAAUUGGAUUUGGUUGUAAUGGUUUGUAGAUUGUUAUUGUGAUAGAGGUUCUGGGAUAUGCACACAUCGCCCGUCGCUCUCGUUUGUUGUUAAUGAGAUAAGUCGUAACAGAGUGGUUGUACCGGAAGGUGCGGCUGGAUUGAU